Molecule: long non-coding RNA, 1294 nt
Filed under: Bos taurus (domestic cattle)
Lineage: Eukaryota; Metazoa; Chordata; Mammalia; Artiodactyla; Bovidae
Description: long non-coding RNA NONBTAT020657
Source: RNAcentral
GGCUAAAACAAGAACUAUACAUACAUAAAGUGGGAGGACAAUUUUCAUAAGUUAAUAUACAGCUCUAGGAAUAUUUUGCCUUUACUUUUUUUAGGACAGUAUUAAUGCUUGUCUUUCAUUUAACCCCUUGAUAUUAGAAAGAUAUAAUUAAAACAUAACUUAGUAGGAACAUUGUGCCAACUUAAAACCUUGAUUUACUAGCAUCUCAACAUUUAGAUCCUUUGUCCAGUGGUAGUAGUUAUUGAAAAAUAUUUCGCUUACUCAGUAAGCCAAAGGGGCACUUAAAACCACACAAAGAAAAACAGUACUUUCCAUGUUUAGAUCUCAUUCUAGUUAUUUCGGUUACUAUGCUUUUUCAUUAUGAACCAGAUUUUCUAGCACCCUGCCCCUGGACUGGCUUGAAUUCAUAACAUCAUGGGUGGUAUUUCACUUGCAGGAAGUGAAGUUACAGUGACACUCAUAGCUAAGUACAUAAGUUGAAUGUAAGAUGCCAAAUAUUUGAACUGAACCCCACAGUUCUUAAACAGAUUGCUUGAAUUCUGUGUGAAUGAUUUGUUGGGAAUGUUCCCACAUAAUUUCAAAAUUGUUGUGUACCAGGGUAAAGCCUUAAUUUGUAUAUGCUGUAGCACAGAUUGCCUUGGGGAUGCUGUUUAGUUUGUGUUGUGUUUAACGUUUUUCUCAUAGGAGAAACCUGACUUCUGUACUAAAUCAUUUACUAUACAUUUAAAAAGCUGCUCUUUCAUAUUUGAGCUACAAAUGAAUGUUACCUUGUGGGAUACACAGCCUAGGUUUUAGCUAUAUGAGCCAUGUUUGUUAUGGUGCUAAUGUUCAAUAGCUACCUUUGAAUAAUUUUUUUCCAUUUCCUGUGAUGAUGGGCAAGUGGCAGAGCUCACCAGUUCACGCCUGGACAUGUUACAGGGCUUGGACCCUCCAGCUAGCUCUUUUGGGGCUUUGGUGGGAAGUAUAAAGUAUUUUUAUUUCUAAACCCAAGAACUUUAGAACUGAGUCAAACAAGAUCUCUAGCAGUAGUGGCCCUCUAAUUGUAAGCUCCAAGCUCCCUUCCCAAGUUGGGAGCAAUGGCUUUACUGCAUGCCCCUGAAAUGGCUGGAAGGGAUAUGAUCUUGUAAAUAGGAAAGCUGUUACUUAAAAAAAAAAAAAUUGUAUUGUUUACCUGGUAGCGAUGUAUCUCUUGAAAAUCAUUUUGUCAUGUUUACAAUGAUGUACCUUAUUGGUAACAAAGUAUUAGUUUGAUGUUUAACAAUAGUGCCUUUAGUAAAUUAUUUUACAACCAAAA